AAGAAGAAGCAUCCGCUUUGAGAUGGACCCGCGGCGCAUUAGCUAGUUGGUGAGGUAACGGCUCACCAAGGCGACGAUGCGUAGCCGACCUGAGAGGGUGAUCGGCCACAUUGGAACUGAGACACGGUCCACACUCCUACGGGAGGCAGCAGUGGGGAAUAUUGCGCAGUGGGGGAAACCCUGACGCAGCACCGCCGCGUGAAUGAUGAAGGCCUUCGGGUUGUAAAGUUCUGUCUUCUGGGACGAUAAUGACGGUACCAGAGGAGGAAGCCACGGCUAACUACGUGCCAGCAGCCGCGGUAAUACGUAGGUGGCAAGCGUUGUCCGGAUUUACUGGGCGUAA
RNAcentral lists this ribosomal RNA (343 nucleotides) under uncultured bacterium. Its description in RNAcentral is "bacterial SSU rRNA". It matches the Rfam family "Bacterial small subunit ribosomal RNA", at positions 202 to 563 of the family's 1533-position model. The record is from RNAcentral.